RNAcentral lists this ribosomal RNA (345 nucleotides) under uncultured eukaryote. RNAcentral's name for it is "SSU rRNA". It matches the Rfam family "Eukaryotic small subunit ribosomal RNA", at positions 594 to 945 of the family's 1831-position model. The record is from RNAcentral.
AUAGCGUAUAUUAAAGUUGUUGCAGUUAAAAAGCUCGUAGUUGAAUUUUUGAUCUGGCCAAGGUGUCGGCCGCAAGGUCUGUACUUCUUGGCUGGAUCUUUCCUUCUGGAGAGCCAUUAUGCCAUUUAUUUGGUGUUUUGGGGAUCCAGGACUUUUACCUUGAAAAAAUUAGAGUGUUUAAAGCAGGCAUACGCUUGAAUACAUUAGCAUGGAAUAAUAGAAUAGGACUUUGGUUCUAUUUUGUUGGUUUCUAGGACCGAAGUAAUGAUUAAUAGGGACAGUUGGGGACAUUAGUAUUUCAAAGUCAGAGGUGAAAUUCUUGGAUUUUUGAAAGACUAACUUCUG